This 1870-nucleotide long non-coding RNA is filed under the name Nicotiana benthamiana. RNAcentral describes it as "long non-coding RNA (NBEN_LNC008878)". Lineage: Eukaryota; Viridiplantae; Streptophyta; Magnoliopsida; Solanales; Solanaceae. The record is from RNAcentral.
CCCCUCAAUCUUUGCAACUUGGACUAAACCCCGGGGACGCUUAUAUAAGUAUGGUGUUCUUACCAUGAAGAACACACCAAGUGAAUAAAAUACUUCCACCUCUCUCCGUUCCUGUCAUUUCUCAAUAGCAAUACAUCCUGUAAAUUUAUUUCAUAGUACCUUUUGAGUAUUAGUAGUGAGAAAAAGUAAAAGAAGUCGUCAAAUUAACCCUGGGCCAAGUUAAGUAAACCCAGUUAAAUAGGUCUACAAAAAAUUCCUGGAUUCAGGACAAGGGAUAAAAAUUUCUGAAAGUGAUAAUAACGGUAUUAAUGUUAUCAUUUGAUACUUUUCUGCAGUUCCUCAAGAAUGUAGAGUAUACAUAUUUAAAACAUCUUCACUCCUCUGCAAUGUAUGCCGUCAUUUGAUAUCACUCCUCUGCAGUGCCCGAAGAAUGUAGAGGAUACAUCUUCAACACAUCCGCCCAUGUGCUCACUCCAUCAGUCACUUCCCUCACAACUGAUGCGACCUUAUCCGUGCUCACCCGGACCUGAUCUUUGCUAUCCCUCUCUCGCACUGUCACUGAUGACGUCGAAUCAACAGUGACGGCAAAGGGAACACCAAGUUCAUCUGUUCUUGCAUACCUUUUCCCUAUAGAAGUACCUGCGAACGUAUGCGAGAGCAAUUAGUAUGGAAAACGUGGAUAUGGCACGAGAAGCUAAGAUAAGUCAAAUUACCCUUUGACCUUUUUUCUUACUGUAAAUGCCACCCACUGAUCUAUUUUAAAUAAAGCAGGGAGCAUCUAACUGAUAUAAUAAUAUAGCACCAAUCAGAGCAGAUAACGCCAAUAUGCUUCCACAUCAACGAGACUAACAUUCUUUACUGUCACCUCUCUUGGAUAGGACUCUUACAACAAGAAUAGCAGAGUAAAAUGAAUAUAAAUUAAGAGAAAAGAAACAAAAGCAAUUGUUCAAGUGGAGGGAGCUGCAACUGUGCAUAGAAGAUACAUAGAAACAUAUUAUACACAAAACAAUCUGGACAAGCUACAAAGAAUGAUCCAACAUUUUAACAGGUCUAUCAAGGUGUGGAAAGGAGAAAAAAUCAAGGUAUCAUGCCGGACUCAAAGUCUGACUACCAAAUAUGUACUCAAUGCAUGUAUCGCCCAUAUUAUGGGUAUUCUGACAGUAUUCACGUGUCUCUUACAGGGGAAAGUGACAAGUACGUGAGGGCACAAUGAAGGGCAGAAAUACCAUUGCACAUAGGACUAAAGCCAACAGUGUCUCUCUCCUCAACGCGUGAUACCAUUUGCAUUAAGUUCCAAAUCAGAGCAUCGCACAAAGGAAUCAAUCAAAAUACUCUUAGCAGCAUACCUGUUAUAUCAAUCUUAUGUGAGAUUCCAGCAGCAGUCAAAGACUUUGAGAUUAACUUGGCAACUUCUUCAUAUUGUUGAUUCUGAACCAGUGGAAAAACAGUGCAUUUGAUGGGAGCCACUAGUGGUGGGAAGCGGAACACAUUUAGUUGCUCAUCUCCACCUUUACUCGGCCUUGUGUAGAAUGAAUGCUCAUAAAGACAAUAUAUUAUCCGGCCAAUUCCAAAUGAGGGCUCAAUCACUGAAGGUGUAAACACCCUUUGGUGCUCUUUCUUUUUCUCCUUGGAAAUAGAGACCAUGCUUUUCUUAAUGGUGACAUUCUUCCCGAGAGUACAUACAUGGAACCCCACCUCCCCCUUGGAUUCCAGAUCAGCCUUCAUCUCCAUAGCCACCUUUUCUUCCAUUGCACAUUUGAUGGGGGCCACUAGUGGUGGGAAGCGGAACACAUUUAGUUGCUCAUCUCCACCUUUACUCGGCCUUGUGUAGAAUGAAUGCUCAUAAAGACAAUAUAUUAUCCGGCCAAUU